GUGGGGAAUAUUCCGCAAUGGGCGCAAGCCUGACGGAGCAACGCCGCGUGAAUGAAGACGGUCUUCGGAUUGUAAAGUUCUGUCAUUAGGGACGAAGGACUCAUGUAAAUAAUAUGAGGAAUGACGGUACCUAAGGAGGAAGCUCCGGCUAACUACGUGCCAGCAGCCGCGGUAAUACGUAGGGAGCAAGCGUUGUCCGGAAUUACUGGGCGUAAAGGGCGCGUAGGCGGAUAAUUAAGUCAGAUGUGAAAUCUCCAGGCUUAACUUGGAGCGUGCAUUUGAAACUGGUUAUCUUGAGGGCAGGAGAGGAAAGUGGAAUUCCUAGUGUAGCGGUGAAAUGCGUAGAUAUUAGGAGGAACACCAGUGGCGAAGGCGACUUUCUGGACUGAACCUGACGCUGAGGCGCGAAAGCAUGGGGAGCGAACGGGAUUAGAUACCCGUGUAGUCC
RNAcentral lists this ribosomal RNA (448 nucleotides) under uncultured bacterium. Its description in RNAcentral is "partial 16S ribosomal RNA". It matches the Rfam family "Bacterial small subunit ribosomal RNA", at positions 354 to 796 of the family's 1533-position model. The record is from RNAcentral.